AGGAUGCAGAAGUAAUUGAGGUUUUGAAAAAAGUUCGAAAGUAUAAUCGCCUUUUUAUAGGUGGCACUUAUGGCCUCAUGCUGAAGGUGCUUGGGUUGCCCUUUUACAUAAAGAGAGUGUUCAAUGAAAUGAUGAAUCCUGACAGGCCUGGUGCUCAUUUGAACAAAUUGCGUAUUUUUGCUAUGUUCCUGGGACUCCUUUACACAUUCAGCCCCUUUGAUUUUCUCAGAAUAGGCCGUCAAAAUGUAAUUGAUGUAUUUGAUUAUUCUGCCAUUGCACUAUCCUCAGUGUUAUAUUUGGUUGGGCUGUAUCUUCGACGAAGGCGUUUUCGCCAUGUCAGGGAGAUGGCUGAGGCUGAUUUUGCUGCUCAUUGACAGCUGCCAACUGGUGAAGCAGACAUUUGUCAACUCGUUGUGGAGCUUGACGAUUCUGGAUUUCUAAAGAUCGUCCUCUGCUUUUGUGGUUGUGCGCUUUUGCAGAGUUUGACAUGGUCUUUCCCUAUGAUGCAGUUCUCUUACAUUUACCUGCCAGUGUGUACAGAUAGGAUGUAGUGUUAUGAUGUAUAUACAUACUCAUUUAGUUGAUCUCUCUUCCACCCCAU
RNAcentral lists this unclassified non-coding RNA (601 nucleotides) under Hevea brasiliensis (rubber tree). Lineage: Eukaryota; Viridiplantae; Streptophyta; Magnoliopsida; Malpighiales; Euphorbiaceae. The record is from RNAcentral.